RNAcentral lists this ribosomal RNA (492 nucleotides) under uncultured bacterium. RNAcentral's name for it is "partial 16S ribosomal RNA". It matches the Rfam family "Bacterial small subunit ribosomal RNA", at positions 29 to 507 of the family's 1533-position model. The record is from RNAcentral.
AGUGAACGCUGGCGGUAGGCCUAACACAUGCAAGUCGAACGGCAGCACCGUAAGAGCUUGCUCUUACGGGUGGCGAGUGGCGGACGGGUGAGGAAUACAUCGGAAUCUACUUUUUCGUGGGGGAUAACGUAGGGAAACUUACGCUAAUACCGCAUACGAUCUACGGGUGAAAGCAGGGGAUCUUCGGACCUUGCGCGAUUGAAUGAGCCGAUGUCGGAUUAGGUAGUUGGCGGGGUAAAGGCCCACCAAGGCGACGAUCCGUAGCUGGUCUGAGAGGAUGGUCAGCCACACUGGAAGUGAGACACGGCCCAGACUCCUACGGGAGGCAGCAGUGGGGAAUAUUGGACAAUGGGCGCAAGCCUGAUCCAGCCAUACCGCGUGGGUGAAGAAGGCCUUCGGGUUGUAAAGCCCUUUUGUUGGGAAAGAAAAGCAGCAGGUUAGUACCGCGCUGUUCUGACGGUACCCAAAGAAUAAGCACCGGCUAACUUCGUG